Molecule: ribosomal RNA, 253 nt
Filed under: uncultured prokaryote
Description: partial 16S ribosomal RNA
Rfam family: Bacterial small subunit ribosomal RNA
Source: RNAcentral
ACGGAGGGGGCUAGCGUUGUUCGGAAUUACUGGGCGUAAAGCGCACGUAGGCGGCUUUGUAAGUUAGAGGUGAAAGCCCAGGGCUCAACCCUGGAAUUGCCUUUAAGACUGCAUCGCUUGAAUCAUGGAGAGGUGAGUGGAAUUCCGAGUGUAGAGGUGAAAUUCGUAGAUAUGCGGAGGAACACCGAUGGCGAAGGCAAUCCCCUGGACCUGUACUGACGCUCAUGCACGAAAGCGUGGGGAGCAAACAGGA